Long non-coding RNA from Acomys russatus (golden spiny mouse), 367 nucleotides. RefSeq lists it as uncharacterized. NCBI's taxonomy places the organism in Eukaryota, Metazoa, Chordata, Mammalia, Rodentia, Muridae. The record is from RefSeq and is a predicted model, not a curated record. The transcript has 4 exons.
CUCAUCAGCAUUGGAACCUCUGUCUUCCUAUAACAGCAAGCAUGAUGUGCUGCUUCCUCGUCUCUGGCUUCCCUGAUGGAGCCCCUGGAACUCACAAGAGAAGCAAAUGCUGGUCAUUUCCUGUGAUUUUCAUCUAAAGCCAAAUCAAAUCCAGCUGGGGAACCAGGGCCUGAGAAAGCAAAAUAAUUGAACAGUACUAAGUAAGCAACGAGGAAUGUAACAUCAAAUGCUUCUACCGGGGCUCAAAUCUGAGUGGCGAGAGGUUUCCAAUCCCUGCUGACUGGCUGAAUAAAUAGAUGCUGGGGCAAGGAACAGUGACAGGACCACUGGGUAGGGUGAUAAAUGUAGGUAUGUCAGCAUCAGAAAG